Molecule: ribosomal RNA, 469 nt
Filed under: uncultured bacterium
Lineage: Bacteria
Description: partial 16S ribosomal RNA
Rfam family: Bacterial small subunit ribosomal RNA
Source: RNAcentral
AACGAACGUUGGCGGCGUGGAUUAGGCAUGCAAGUCGAACGCGAAUCCCUGGGCAACUGGGGAGGAGAGUGGCGAAAGGGGCAGUAAGGCGUGGGUAACCUACCCUCCGGGCCGGGAUAGCUUCGGGAAACUGAAGGUAAUACCGGGCGACGCAGCGAGAUCGCAUGGUCUUGCUGCCAAAGGUCCGCCGCCGGGGGAGGGGCUCACGUGGUAUUAGCUAGACGGCGGGGUAACGGCCCACCGUGGCAAAGAUGCCUAGCAGGUGUGAGAGCACGACCGGCGCCACUGGCACUGAGACGGUGGCCAGACACCGACGGGUGGCGGCAGGCGAGGAUCUUCGGCAAUGGGCGCAAGCCUGACCGAGCGACGCCGCGUGUGCGAUGAAGGCCUUCGGGUUGUAAAGCACUGUCGAGGGGGAGGAAGCCGCAAGGUUGACCUAUCCCUGGAGGAAGCACGGGCUAAGUUCGUG